Molecule: ribosomal RNA, 2905 nt
Filed under: Escherichia coli O55:H7 str. RM12579
Lineage: Bacteria; Pseudomonadati; Pseudomonadota; Gammaproteobacteria; Enterobacterales; Enterobacteriaceae
Description: bacterial LSU rRNA
Rfam family: Bacterial large subunit ribosomal RNA
Source: RNAcentral
GGUUAAGCGACUAAGCGUACACGGUGGAUGCCCUGGCAGUCAGAGGCGAUGAAGGACGUGCUAAUCUGCGAUAAGCGUCGGUAAGGUGAUAUGAACCGUUAUAACCGGCGAUUUCCGAAUGGGGAAACCCAGUGUGUUUCGACACACUAUCAUUAACUGAAUCCAUAGGUUAAUGAGGCGAACCGGGGGAACUGAAACAUCUAAGUACCCCGAGGAAAAGAAAUCAACCGAGAUUCCCCCAGUAGCGGCGAGCGAACGGGGAGGAGCCCAGAGCCUGAAUCAGUGUGUGUGUUAGUGGAAGCGUCUGGAAAGGCGCGCGAUACAGGGUGACAGCCCCGUACACAAAAAUGCACAUACUGUGAGCUCGAUGAGUAGGGCGGGACACGUGGUAUCCUGUCUGAAUAUGGGGGGACCAUCCUCCAAGGCUAAAUACUCCUGACUGACCGAUAGUGAACCAGUACCGUGAGGGAAAGGCGAAAAGAACCCCGGCGAGGGGAGUGAAAAAGAACCUGAAACCGUGUAUGUACAAGCAGUGGGAGCCUCUUUUAUGGGGUGACUGCGUACCUUUUGUAUAAUGGGUCAGCGACUUAUAUUCUGUAGCAAGGUUAACCGAAUAGGGGAGCCGAAGGGAAACCGAGUCUUAACUGGGCGUUAAGUUGCAGGGUAUAGACCCGAAACCCGGUGAUCUAGCCAUGGGCAGGUUGAAGGUUGGGUAACACUAACUGGAGGACCGAACCGACUAAUGUUGAAAAAUUAGCGGAUGACUUGUGGCUGGGGGUGAAAGGCCAAUCAAACCGGGAGAUAGCUGGUUCUCCCCGAAAGCUAUUUAGGUAGCGCCUCGUGAAUUCAUCUCCGGGGGUAGAGCACUGUUUCGGCAAGGGGGUCAUCCCGACUUACCAACCCGAUGCAAACUGCGAAUACCGGAGAAUGUUAUCACGGGAGACACACGGCGGGUGCUAACGUCCGUCGUGAAGAGGGAAACAACCCAGACCGCCAGCUAAGGUCCCAAAGUCAUGGUUAAGUGGGAAACGAUGUGGGAAGGCCCAGACAGCCAGGAUGUUGGCUUAGAAGCAGCCAUCAUUUAAAGAAAGCGUAAUAGCUCACUGGUCGAGUCGGCCUGCGCGGAAGAUGUAACGGGGCUAAACCAUGCACCGAAGCUGCGGCAGCGACACUGUGUGUUGUUGGGUAGGGGAGCGUUCUGUAAGCCUGUGAAGGUGUGCUGUGAGGCAUGCUGGAGGUAUCAGAAGUGCGAAUGCUGACAUAAGUAACGAUAAAGCGGGUGAAAAGCCCGCUCGCCGGAAGACCAAGGGUUCCUGUCCAACGUUAAUCGGGGCAGGGUGAGUCGACCCCUAAGGCGAGGCCGAAAGGCGUAGUCGAUGGGAAACAGGUUAAUAUUCCUGUACUUGGUGUUACUGCGAAGGGGGGACGGAGAAGGCUAUGUUGGCCGGGCGACGGUUGUCCCGGUUUAAGCGUGUAGGCUGGUUUUCCAGGCAAAUCCGGAAAAUCAAGGCUGAGGCGUGAUGACGAGGCACUACGGUGCUGAAGCAACAAAUGCCCUGCUUCCAGGAAAAGCCUCUAAGCAUCAGGUAACAUCAAAUCGUACCCCAAACCGACACAGGUGGUCAGGUAGAGAAUACCAAGGCGCUUGAGAGAACUCGGGUGAAGGAACUAGGCAAAAUGGUGCCGUAACUUCGGGAGAAGGCACGCUGAUAUGUAGGUGAAGUCCCUCGCGGAUGGAGCUGAAAUCAGUCGAAGAUACCAGCUGGCUGCAACUGUUUAUUAAAAACACAGCACUGUGCAAACACGAAAGUGGACGUAUACGGUGUGACGCCUGCCCGGUGCCGGAAGGUUAAUUGAUGGGGUCAGCGCAAGCGAAGCUCUUGAUCGAAGCCCCGGUAAACGGCGGCCGUAACUAUAACGGUCCUAAGGUAGCGAAAUUCCUUGUCGGGUAAGUUCCGACCUGCACGAAUGGCGUAAUGAUGGCCAGGCUGUCUCCACCCGAGACUCAGUGAAAUUGAACUCGCUGUGAAGAUGCAGUGUACCCGCGGCAAGACGGAAAGACCCCGUGAACCUUUACUAUAGCUUGACACUGAACAUUGAGCCUUGAUGUGUAGGAUAGGUGGGAGGCUUUGAAGUGUGGACGCCAGUCUGCAUGGAGCCGACCUUGAAAUACCACCCUUUAAUGUUUGAUGUUCUAACGUGGACCCGUGAUCCGGGUUGCGGACAGUGUCUGGUGGGUAGUUUGACUGGGGCGGUCUCCUCCUAAAGAGUAACGGAGGAGCACGAAGGUUGGCUAAUCCUGGUCGGACAUCAGGAGGUUAGUGCAAUGGCAUAAGCCAGCUUGACUGCGAGCGUGACGGCGCGAGCAGGUGCGAAAGCAGGUCAUAGUGAUCCGGUGGUUCUGAAUGGAAGGGCCAUCGCUCAACGGAUAAAAGGUACUCCGGGGAUAACAGGCUGAUACCGCCCAAGAGUUCAUAUCGACGGCGGUGUUUGGCACCUCGAUGUCGGCUCAUCACAUCCUGGGGCUGAAGUAGGUCCCAAGGGUAUGGCUGUUCGCCAUUUAAAGUGGUACGCGAGCUGGGUUUAGAACGUCGUGAGACAGUUCGGUCCCUAUCUGCCGUGGGCGCUGGAGAACUGAGGGGGGCUGCUCCUAGUACGAGAGGACCGGAGUGGACGCAUCACUGGUGUUCGGGUUGUCAUGCCAAUGGCACUGCCCGGUAGCUAAAUGCGGAAGAGAUAAGUGCUGAAAGCAUCUAAGCACGAAACUUGCCCCGAGAUGAGUUCUCCCUGACCCUUUAAGGGUCCUGAAGGAACGUUGAAGACGACGACGUUGAUAGGCCGGGUGUGUAAGCGCAGCGAUGCGUUGAGCUAACCGGUACUAAUGAACCGUGAGGCUUAACCUUAC